CGGGGAGUAGCGCAGCCCGGUAGCGCACCUCGUUCGGGCCGAGGGGGUCGCCCGUUCAAAUCAAGUCUCCCCGACCA
Molecule: transfer RNA, 77 nt
Filed under: Thermus scotoductus
Lineage: Bacteria; Thermotogati; Deinococcota; Deinococci; Thermales; Thermaceae
Description: tRNA-Pro
Source: RNAcentral